RNAcentral lists this transfer RNA (71 nucleotides) under Anoplocnemis curvipes. RNAcentral describes it as "tRNA-Gln". Lineage: Eukaryota; Metazoa; Arthropoda; Insecta; Hemiptera; Coreidae. The record is from RNAcentral.
UUUAUAUAUUAGUGUAAGAUGCACAAAGAAUUUUGAUUUCUUUAGUUUUAGUUUAAUUCUAAAAUAUAUAA